AAUAAGAUUAAGGUUCCCAUGUGAUGGUCUCGUUCCUUGUCUUCAAGUGCAUUAUUGUUUUUUUUUUUUUUAAAUUAAGGAUAUCCUUCGAUACAAAGUUAGAGACAACUCUUUCAGGUACUCUCAGUCGCUUUUAAUAUAUGCUCUUUCAUAUAUACAAAUUUAGCAAUUGACUACAUGCAUCUUUAAAGAAUAUAUAUAGUUAACUAUUUCUAGAUCAUGUUGAUUUUUCAAGUGAAUUAUUAUGAAAGAACUUAAUUAUAUUUUCAUUCUUAGAGUGACUUUAACUGUUAUCAAGGUGUACAUGACGGGUGAAUAUGAAGCAAAUCUUUGUCUGGAUCUCAUUAGGUGACGAAAACCAGUUUAGAUGCAUGAUGAGGGAGAAGUUUGUUGCACGUAACUCCGACACAAAUCAACUGCAUGUGAAAGAAUGUCAAAGAAAUAUCACACUUCAUUUUUUGGUUGGAACUUGGAAGACAGGGAGUACCACAGUGGAACAGGAAAUAGGGAUAAUUGAAGGAGGGAAAGCACUUUUUCUUUUCGUUAAUUUAUUAAUAUUUAUAUGUAAUUCUAAUUUACCAAGGGCUAAGUGUUAAACAUUUAUAUAUAGUUUGUGGAGACUUUUUACAUUCUUUGA
This is a non-coding RNA of Cajanus cajan (pigeon pea), 637 nucleotides long. NCBI's taxonomy places the organism in Eukaryota, Viridiplantae, Streptophyta, Magnoliopsida, Fabales, Fabaceae. The record is from RefSeq and is a predicted model, not a curated record.